UAAUACGUACUGUGCAAACGUUAUUCGGAAUCACUGGGCUUAAAGGGUGCGUAGGCGGUUGAUUAAGUAGGGUGUGAAAGCUCUCGGCCCAACCGAGGAAUUGCGCUCUAAACUGAUCAACUUGAGUGAGAUAGGGGUGUGCGGAACUUCCAGUGGAGCGGUGAAAUGUGUUGAUAUUGGAAGGAACGCCGGUGGCGAAAGCGGCACACUGGGUCUCAACUGACGCUGAGGCACGAAAGCCAGGGUAGCGAACGGGAUUAGAUACCCCGGUAGUCCUGGCCGUAAACGAUGAGCACUAGACGGGAGGAGCUUCGGCUCAUCCGGUCGUAGCGAAAGCAAUAAGUGCUCCGCCUGGGGAGUAUGGUCGCAAGGCUG
RNAcentral lists this ribosomal RNA (375 nucleotides) under uncultured Planctomycetota bacterium. Its description in RNAcentral is "bacterial SSU rRNA". It matches the Rfam family "Bacterial small subunit ribosomal RNA", at positions 521 to 896 of the family's 1533-position model. The record is from RNAcentral. Lineage: Bacteria; Pseudomonadati; Planctomycetota.